GUAGGUUGGCUGUGUUCCAUAUUCUAAUGGGAAAAUUUGUAUGGUUUCUGCAUCCUAGUUCGAAAUUUCCCUGUAUUUCAGCCCCCUCCGGCAGAGAACUGCUUUUUUUUUUCCUAUUUCUGUCCUUGUUAAAAUGAAACCUGGCCACCAGCUAGUUAUCUGCAACAUGUUACUGCUUCUUGCACUCUUGAAGUUCCACCAUUGGAAAGCUAUCCUUGUCUGAUUAGCCAGUCCACGUGGUGGACAAUUGCUUUGUGCCAGGGCCUUUAGGCCAGGGUUGUGCAAAAG
Pelobates cultripes (western spadefoot toad) is the source of this 288-nucleotide non-coding RNA. Lineage: Eukaryota; Metazoa; Chordata; Amphibia; Anura; Pelobatidae. The record is from the annotation of a GenBank genome assembly.